AGUGAACGCUGGCGGUAGGCCUAACACAUGCAAGUCGAACGGCAGCACAGUAAGAGCUUGCUCUUACGGGUGGCGAGUGGCGGACGGGUGAGGAAUACAUCGGAAUCUACUUUUUCGUGGGGGAUAACGUAGGGAAACUUACGCUAAUACCGCAUACGACCUACGGGUGAAAGCAGGGGAUCUUCGGACCUUGCGCGAUUGAAUGAGCCGAUGUCGGAUUAGCUAGUUGGCGGGGUAAAGGCCCACCAAGGCGACGAUCCGUAGCUGGUCUGAGAGGAUGAUCAGCCAAACUGGAACUGAGACACGGUCCAGACUCCUACGGGAGGCAGCAGUGGGGAAUAUUGGACAAUGGGCGCAAGCCUGAUCCAGCCAUACCGCGUGGGUGAAGAAGGCCUUCGGGUUGUAAAGCCCUUUUGUUGGGAAAGAAAAGAAGCAGGUUAAUACCCCGAUGUUCUGACGGUACCCAAAGAAUAAGCGCCGGCUAACUUCGUG
Molecule: ribosomal RNA, 492 nt
Filed under: uncultured bacterium
Lineage: Bacteria
Description: partial 16S ribosomal RNA
Rfam family: Bacterial small subunit ribosomal RNA
Source: RNAcentral